This 212-nucleotide ribosomal RNA is filed under the name uncultured bacterium. RNAcentral describes it as "partial 16S ribosomal RNA". It matches the Rfam family "Bacterial small subunit ribosomal RNA", at positions 524 to 734 of the family's 1533-position model. The record is from RNAcentral.
GACGUAGGGCGCGAGCGUUGUCCGGAUUUAUUGGGCGUAAAGAGCUCGUAGGCGGCUUGUCGCGUCGAAUGUGAAAUCUCAGGGCUCAACUCUGACAUUGCAUUCGAUACGGGCAGGCUAGAGUUCGGUAGGGGAGACUGGAAUUCCUGGUGUAGCGGUGAAAUGCGCAGGAUAUCAGGAGGAACACCGGUGGCGAAGGCGGGUCUCUGGGC